Molecule: ribosomal RNA, 301 nt
Filed under: uncultured bacterium
Lineage: Bacteria
Description: partial 16S ribosomal RNA
Rfam family: Bacterial small subunit ribosomal RNA
Source: RNAcentral
CAGUAGCCGCGGUAAUGCGUAGGUGGCAAGCGUUGUCCGGAAUUAUUGGGCGUAAAGCGGGCGCAGGCGGUUAGAUAAGUCUGAAGUUAAAGGCUGUGGCUUAACCAUAGUACGCUUUGGAAACUGUUUAACUUGAGUGCAAGAGGGGAGAGUGGAAUUCCAUGUGUAGCGGUGAAAUGCGUAGAUAUAUGGAGGAACACCGGUGGCGAAAGCGGCUCUCUGGCUUGUAACUGACGCUGAGGCUCGAAAGCGUGGGGAGCAAACAGGAUUAGAGACCCCGGUAGUCCCUGUCUCUUAUACA